RNAcentral lists this ribosomal RNA (253 nucleotides) under uncultured bacterium. RNAcentral describes it as "partial 16S ribosomal RNA". It matches the Rfam family "Bacterial small subunit ribosomal RNA", at positions 524 to 776 of the family's 1533-position model. The record is from RNAcentral.
UACAGAGGGGGCAAGCGUUAUUCGGAAUUAUUGGGCGUAAAGGGCGCGUAGGCGGCCUGGCAAGUGGAAGGUGAAAUCCCUCGGCUUAACCGAGGAACUGCCUCCCAAACUGCUAGGCUUGAGACCAGGAGAGGUGAGUGGAAUUCCCAGUGUAGCGGUGAAAUGCGUAGAUAUUGGGAGGAACACCAGUGGCGAAGGCGGCUCACUGGACUGGUACUGACGCUGAGGCGCGAAAGCGUGGGGAGCAAACGGG